RNAcentral lists this long non-coding RNA (800 nucleotides) under Sus scrofa (pig). RNAcentral describes it as "lncRNA (ENSSSCG00025044878.1, ENSSSCG00035027244.1, ENSSSCG00065038038.1)". Lineage: Eukaryota; Metazoa; Chordata; Mammalia; Artiodactyla; Suidae. The record is from RNAcentral.
GACCCGCUUCUUUCCCAAAAGGAAGUGGCCUCAGAAUUUUCUCGCGGAGUAACCUCUUCGUAAACCCAGGUUCCCCAGGUCCCACGCCUGAGGGUGCUCGGAGCCGCCCUGGAGGGCAGCACGGACUGGCGGGUUCUUUUAAACCCACGGUGAAAACGUCCUCUGGAUGUUUCAUCUGAUGAAAGGCGCAUCCUUACUUUUCCAGUCUUGGUCACAUUCUCUCCUUUCCCUACCAAAGACUGGGUGGCACGGUCGCCCCCGAAGCGUGAAUUGGGGUUGAGGAGGAAGAACACAGUAAACGCUCUUUGAGUGGCCUGUGGCUUCUCUACUUCUUCAUUAACCACUCCUGGUUUGGGCGGAUUCUCACACAAAAUUGUCUUGGCAAAACCUCAGCCUGGCCCACGAUCAAGGGAUGCACCUGCAUUGAUCUUCUUGAAGGAGCUGUCCUUUGGCAGCCUGCUGGGAUUUCCUUCAAGAGGAGGAGAGGAAGGGAAGCACUUGUCCAGGAUAAAGCCUAGCUCCCUAUAUAUCCGUUCCUCUAUGUGGACGAAAUGUGAUGAUCCGCAGUCAACACCCUGCACAGCCAGCCUCUUCUCAGCAUCUGCCUUCAGAUAAACUAACCUGCAACAGCUGACCUCACUGGUGUCAUUGAGCACAUCCAAAAUCAUUUUAAAUAUCUCUAGUGAAGAGUUUGAAUCCAGAUGCCCCCUGGUGGUUACGCCUUUAAUAUAGACUCUUCAAAUAUCUGUGGAAAUAACCAUGCAGGCAUAACAAAGAAUAAAAAUGCACAACAUUGAUCA